RNAcentral lists this non-coding RNA (23 nucleotides) under Gallus gallus (chicken). RNAcentral also lists the same sequence under 1 other name. The record is from RNAcentral. Lineage: Eukaryota; Metazoa; Chordata; Aves; Galliformes; Phasianidae.
AAGAGCCCGGAUAGCUCAGUCGG